This 601-nucleotide ribosomal RNA is filed under the name uncultured beta proteobacterium. RNAcentral describes it as "bacterial SSU rRNA". It matches the Rfam family "Bacterial small subunit ribosomal RNA", at positions 232 to 824 of the family's 1533-position model. The record is from RNAcentral. Lineage: Bacteria; Pseudomonadati; Pseudomonadota; Betaproteobacteria.
GAUAUCUGAUUAGCUAGAUUGGUGGGGUAAAGGCUCACCAAGGCAUCGAUCAGUAGCUGGUCUGAGAGGACGACCAGCCACACUGGAACUGAGACACGGUCCAGACUCCUACGGGAGGCAGCAGUGGGGAAUUUUGGACAAUGGGCGCAAGCCUGAUCCAGCAAUGCCGCGUGAGUGAAGAAGGCCUUCGGGUUGUAAAGCUCUUUUGUCAGGGAAGAAACGGUGAGGGCUAAUAUCCCUUGCUAAUGACGGUACCUGAAGAAUAAGCACCGGCUAACUACGUGCCAGCAGCCGCGGUAAUACGUAGGGUGCAAGCGUUAAUCGGAAUUACUGGGCGUAAAGCGUGCGCAGGCGGUUUUGUAAGUCUGAUGUGAAAUCCCCGGGCUCAACCUGGGAAUUGCAUUGGAGACUGCAAGGCUAGAAUCUGGCAGAGGGGGGUAGAAUUCCACGUGUAGCAGUGAAAUGCGUAGAUAUGUGGAGGAACACCGAUGGCGAAGGCAGCCCCCUGGGUCAAGAUUGACGCUCAUGCACGAAAGCGUGGGGAGCAAACAGGAUUAGAUACCCUGGUAGUCCACGCCCUAAACGAUGUCUACUAGUUGUC